Molecule: ribosomal RNA, 497 nt
Filed under: uncultured bacterium
Lineage: Bacteria
Description: partial 16S ribosomal RNA
Rfam family: Bacterial small subunit ribosomal RNA
Source: RNAcentral
GAUGAACGCUGGCGGCGUGCCUAAUACAAGCGAAUCGAGCGAACAGACGAGGAGCUUGCUCCUCUGACGUUAGCGGCGGACGGGUGAGUAACACGUGGAUAACCUACCUAUAAGACUGGGAUAACUUCGGGAAACCGGAGCUAAUACCGGAUAAUAUAUUGAACCGCAUGGUUCAAUAGUGAAAGACGGUUUUGCUGUCACUUAUAGAUGGAUCCGCGCCGCAUUAGCUAGUUGGUAAGGUAACGGCUUACCAAGGCAACGAUGCGUAGCCGACCUGAGAGGGUGAUCGGCCACACUGGAACUGAGACACGGUCCAGACUCCUACGGGAGGCAGCAGUAGGGAAUCUUCCGCAAUGGGCGAAAGCCUGACGGAGCAACGCCGCGUGAGUGAUGAAGGUCUUCGGAUCGUAAAACUCUGUUAUUAGGGAAGAACAAAUGUGUAAGUAACUAUGCACGUCUUGACGGUACCUAAUCAGAAAGCCACGGCUAACUACGUG